RNAcentral lists this ribosomal RNA (408 nucleotides) under bacterium enrichment culture clone ALO1_GLFRUDD03GJ0TD. Its description in RNAcentral is "bacterial SSU rRNA". It matches the Rfam family "Bacterial small subunit ribosomal RNA", at positions 9 to 416 of the family's 1533-position model. The record is from RNAcentral.
GAGUUUGAUCCUGGCUCAGAUUGAACGCUGGCGGCAUGCCUUACACAUGCAAGUCGAACGGCAGCACGGGAGCUUGCUCCUGGUGGGCGAGUGGCGAACGGGUGAGUAAUGCACCGGAACGUAUCCUGGAGUGGGGGAUAACGUAGCGAAAGUUACGCUAAUACCGCAUAUUCUGUGAGCAGGAAAGCGGGGGACCUUCGGGCCUCGCGCUCUUGGAGCGGCCGAUGUCGGAUUAGCUAGUUGGUGAGGUAAAGGCUCACCAAGGCGACGAUCCGUAGCAGGUCUGAGAGGAUGAUCUGCCACACUGGAACUGAGACACGGUCCAGACUCCUACGGGAGGCAGCAGUGGGGAAUUUUGGACAAUGGGGGCAACCCUGAUCCAGCCAUGCCGCGUGAGUGAAGAAGGCC